Musca domestica (house fly) is the source of this 492-nucleotide long non-coding RNA. RefSeq lists it as uncharacterized. NCBI's taxonomy places the organism in Eukaryota, Metazoa, Arthropoda, Insecta, Diptera, Muscidae. The record is from RefSeq and is a predicted model, not a curated record. The transcript is spliced from 2 exons.
UAUGUAAAACACCUUCUUAAUUACCCACCUUUGAAGUGGGGUCAUUUAAAAUACAUUUUUUUAUUUUCGAAAUUGAUACAACAAAUGACUUCCCCAAUAGAUAACUGUUAAUUACCCUAAGUAAUUAACGUAAUUGCCAAUUAUAUUCACAGUUAACAAUAUCUUGAAUAUAUAAGGUCGGUUACUGAAAGCGAAAUUCAAAAACACUCAAAGUUUUGUAUCAACUGAAAACUAAUAAUGAAAUUCUUAACUUUCUUCCUCUUCUUGGCUUUGGUGGCUCUAUCCUUGGGAAAGCCUGCUGACGAUAAUGCCGAUGGACCGGACUCCAAUGGGCCACAACCUUCCCAUCCUGAAGAAAAUCCAACACGCUUCCAUGUGGAUCCCUACUAUAACCCCAAUGGCGGAGGAUUUGGCAUCAAUAUUGGCUUUUAAAAAAUAAAGUUAAUAAUAAAAAGAUAAAUGUCAAUAAAUAUAUGGAGAUAAAAUAACCAA